GGAGGGAGCUAGCGUUGUUCGGAAUUACUGGGCGUAAAGCGUACGUAGGCGGUUAUUCAAGUCAGAGGUGAAAGCCCGGGGCUCAACCCCGGAACUGCCUUUGAAACUAGAUAGCUAGAAUCUUGGAGAGGUCAGUGGAAUUCCGAGUGUAGAGGUGAAAUUCGUAGAUAUUCGGAAGAACACCAGUGGCGAAGGCGACUGACUGGACAAGUAUUGACGCUGAGGUACGAAAGCGUGGGGAGCAAACAGGAUUAGAUACCCUGGUAGUCCACGCCGUAAACGAUGAUAACUAGCUGUCCGGGCACUUGGUGCCUGGGUGGCGCAGCUAACGCAUUAAGUUAUCCGCCUGGGGAGUACGGUCGCAAGAUUA
RNAcentral lists this ribosomal RNA (370 nucleotides) under uncultured bacterium. Its description in RNAcentral is "bacterial SSU rRNA". It matches the Rfam family "Bacterial small subunit ribosomal RNA", at positions 527 to 896 of the family's 1533-position model. The record is from RNAcentral.